CAGGACUAAAGAUAUGGAGAGAUGCUCUCAAAUUACACUGGAGAUUUGAAGCGUGAAUCAAAUUCCGUCCCCACACACAAAAGAUAUGAUUCUACACACAGAAAAGAUAAAACAAAUCAUGAAUUUAGAUGAUUUUGCUUAAUCCCUUCUAUAUCUCGAUUCUUUCCGAAUUUUCUAUAAAUAUUUUUAUUACUUUUUAAUCAGAAGUUAUACUUCAGAUGAAUCUAAAAAAUGCUCUAAAUUGAGAGCUUUGAUAAGAACUUGAAAGCAAACUGUUUAAUAAUUUAAGCAGAAAUCUAAUCACUUGUAUCCUGGACUGUGUGAACAAAGGGAUUUGAUUAGCUUAGACAAAUAACUCUUAUGCUACAGAGGCAAAGCCAGGAGAGCUUGUGGGAAAUGCAAAUUCAUUUCAUCAGUUCCAAUUCUGUACAUCUGGGUAAGAGCAGAAACCUGCAUCUCAUCAAGCUACAAGAUGAUUUUAACGUUGGUGGGGCCACCCUUUGAUCAACUCUGGCCAAAAGACAAGCCCAAGGCAUCAAAAUUUCAGAGACUCUCCAUCCAGAAACAAUGCUGUUCUGACCCAGGGAAUUCCAGGGUUCUGGCCCCUGUUGUAGAUGCUUCUGUAGACAUGACACUAUCUCCCCUGCGUUCAUCCAUGCUUUUUUAGCAGAUUUCCUAUGAUUGGCUUUCCUUGUGGUUUUUCUAAGAAGAAAAUAUUACUGCUUUGUCAAUAGUGGCAGUUGGGUUUGUCUGUCUUCUCUGUAACAUAAUAAAUUGGUACUCAGUUUAUAGAUCGGUCUCUCUGAGUUCAGUUAAUGUGAAUCUACUCCCCUGAAAAUUUGGUCCAUUUUCAGACAGGCAUGUAAGCUAUAAUAGCUGGAAUCUCUUAGCAAGGAGUUAGUGAGCCUCUUUCUCACAAUAGUAUAUCCAUUGUUAUUGCCAACCUGUCAGCACUUUCCAUGUUUCUGAUACAGCAUCUUGAAUUUCCUUUGGGAAUCACUCCAAGAUUCUUCCAAAAUCCAAAAAUAGCCCCUUACUCUAGGCCCAUCUAUUUGAACUCAACCUUAAGAGUUUUGAUUAAAAUAAAGGUAAAGCUUAGAUCCAUUGGUCUUUGUCAUGGAGCCACAAGGGGAAAAACAUGCUUGAGAAUGAAGCCACUAUGAACAAAAGAACUAAGAGUCAGACAUAAAUUAGAGCUAGAGAAAGACAAAGAGAUAAUA
This 1220-nucleotide long non-coding RNA is filed under the name Marmota monax (woodchuck). Lineage: Eukaryota; Metazoa; Chordata; Mammalia; Rodentia; Sciuridae. The record is from RNAcentral.